This is a long non-coding RNA of Acanthochromis polyacanthus (spiny chromis), 1144 nucleotides long. RefSeq lists it as uncharacterized. NCBI's taxonomy places the organism in Eukaryota, Metazoa, Chordata, Actinopteri, Pomacentridae. The record is from RefSeq and is a predicted model, not a curated record. The transcript has 3 exons.
GGACUCUACUCUUUCUGAUAGGAAGGUUGUGUUUUUAAAAAAAUAAAUCUGACUUAAUUCCUGGAAUACUGACUGACGUGUAGCAUCACUUGGAGUUAAACUGCUGUUAAAGGAGGAGUUUUGGGAUCUUAGAUAAAAUCAUCAGAUUUAAGGUUAUAAAAUGUGACUAAGUUCCUAAAAACACAGCAGAUGUUCUAAUAUCUAACAUCUCUGAUCUGGGCUCCAUAACAGCAGGUUUUUAACUGUGUUUGAAGCAAAAAGGAGAAAAGUUCAACUGAAACAACUGGUUUUAAUUCCAGCAGAUGGAAGCAGGCUAUAAUUGUGUGAAAUGAGGAGGUUUUAUUUUUUUUCCACUCGUUCUGAGGACAGAUUCUAUCACGUCUGCAGCAGAACUAAACAAAGCAAACAUUCCUGCCUCUCAUCAGGUUGUCACGGCGACAUCUGCUGAUAAGAAUCUGAGCUGCUUUAAAACCUCUAAUAUCUCCUGAUGUGUUUUCUCUGACUGUUUCAGUAAAUAAUCCACCUCUGAAACAUCAGCUCUUUUUUUUCUUACCAAUCUUUUUGGCACCAGGGUCAGACAGAAAAAUGUGAAGCGACUCAGCUCACCAACAGUAGAGCCUGGUGACAGCAGGUCUUCUGAUUAUAUGCGGCAGGUCUUCUGCUGAUAGACGGCAGGUCUUCUGCUGAUAUACGGCAGGUCUUCUGCUGAUAGACGGCAGGUCUUCUGCUGAUAGACGGCAGGUCUUCUGCUGAUAUACGGCAGGUCUUCUGAUGAUAGACGGCAGGUCUUCUGAUGAUAGACGGCAGGUCUUCUGAUGAUAGACGGCAGGUCUUCUGAUGAUAGACGGCAGGUCUUCUGAUGAUAGACGGCAGGUCUUCUGAUGAUAUACGGCAGGUCUUCUGAUGAUAGACGGCAGGUCUUCUGAUGAUAGACGGCAGGUCUUCUGAUGAUAUACGGCAGGUCUUCUGAUGAUAGACGGCAGGUCUUCUGAUGAUAGACGGCAGGUCUUCUGAUGAUAUACGGCAGGUCUUCUGAUGAUAGACGGCAGGUCUUCUGAUGAUAUACGGCAGGUCUUCUGAUGAUAGACGGCAGGUCUUCUGAUGAUAUACGGCAGGUCUUCUGAUGAUAGACGGCAGGUCUUCU